RNAcentral lists this ribosomal RNA (443 nucleotides) under uncultured bacterium. RNAcentral's name for it is "partial 16S ribosomal RNA". It matches the Rfam family "Bacterial small subunit ribosomal RNA", at positions 338 to 795 of the family's 1533-position model. The record is from RNAcentral.
CCUACGGGGGGCAGCAGUGGGGGAUAUUGGACAAUGGGGGAAACCCUGAUCCAGCGACGCCGCGUGAGUGAAGAAGUUUUUCGGUAUGUAAAGCUCUAUCAGCAGGGAAGAAAGCAAUGACGGUUCCUGAGUCAUAAGCGCCGGCUAACUACGUGCCAGCAGCCGCGGUAAUACGUAGGGGGCAAGCGUUAUCCGGAAUUACUGGGUGUAAAGGGAGCGUAGGGGGUAAUGCAAGUCUGGAGGGAAAGCCGGGGGCCCACCCCCCGGACUGCCCUGGAAACUGUGGAACUGGAGUGCAGGAGAGGCAGGCGGAAUUCCUAGUGUAGCGGUGAAAUGCGUAGAUAUUAGGAGGAACACCAGUGGCGAAGGCGGCCUGCUGGACUGUAACUGACGUUGAGGCUCGAAAGCGUGGGGAGCAAACAGGAGUAGAUACCCCUGUAGUC